CGGAGGAGGCCGGAUCCUGGGCUGUGUCCCGGCGCCCUGUGCUCCCGGUCUGCGCUGUUGGAUUCGCGCUUCCAGCCGCGCAACCCCCU
This 89-nucleotide microRNA precursor is filed under the name Canis lupus familiaris (dog). RNAcentral's name for it is "mir-8799 microRNA precursor family". It matches the Rfam family "mir-8799 microRNA precursor family". RNAcentral also lists the same sequence under 1 other name. The record is from Rfam by way of RNAcentral. Lineage: Eukaryota; Metazoa; Chordata; Mammalia; Carnivora; Canidae.